Molecule: ribosomal RNA, 394 nt
Filed under: uncultured bacterium
Lineage: Bacteria
Description: bacterial SSU rRNA
Rfam family: Bacterial small subunit ribosomal RNA
Source: RNAcentral
AGCGAACGUUUGCGGCGGGCUUAACACAUGCAAGUCGAACGAGAAUCCCUUCGGGGAGGAAAGUGGCGCACGGGUGCGUAACACGUGGAUAACCAACCCAUUGGUUUGGGACAACACCGGGAAACUGGUGCUAAUACCAGAUGUGUCGCAGCUGUCUUCAGGCGGUUGCGAGAAAGGCCCGCAAGGGUCGCCAACGGACGGGUCCGCGUCCCAUCAGCUAGUUGGUGAGGUAAUGGCUCACCAAGGCAAAGACGGGUAGCUGGUCUGAGAGGAUGAUCAGCCACACUGGAACUGAGACACGGUCCAGACUCCUACGGGAGGCAGCAGUGGGGAAUAUUGGACAAUGGGGGCGAACCCUGAUCCAGCCAUGCCGCGUGUGUGAAGAAGGCCUCGG